This 406-nucleotide ribosomal RNA is filed under the name uncultured bacterium. RNAcentral describes it as "partial 16S ribosomal RNA". It matches the Rfam family "Bacterial small subunit ribosomal RNA", at positions 30 to 526 of the family's 1533-position model. The record is from RNAcentral.
AUUGAACGCUGGCGGCAGGCCUAACACAUGCAAGUCGAACGAGUGGCGGACGGGUGAGUAAUGUCGGGGAAACUGCCCGAUGGAGGGGGAUAACUACUGGAAACGGUAGCUAAUACCGCAUACCAUCGGGUGUGCCCAGAUGGGAUUAGCUAGUAGGUGGGGUAACGGCUCACCUAGGCGACAAUCCCUAGCUGGUCUGAGAGGAUGAACAUCCACACUGGAACUGAGACACGGUCCAGACUCCUACGGGAGGCAGCAGUUGGGAAUAUUGCACAAUGGGCGCAAGCCUGAUGCAGCCAUGCCGCGUGUGUGAAGAAGGCCUUCGGGUUGUAAAGUACUUUCAGCGAGGAGGCGUUACUCGCAGAAGAAGCACCGGCUAACUCCGUGCCAGCAGCCGCGGUAAUUC